AUUAAAACACAACUUCAGUUAUGUCUCUUGGGAUACUACUGAGUUCCAAGAAGAAUAUGCUUUAAAAACAUCUAUUCUCAGUCACAGUUCUACUAUUCUGAACAAACAAUCAGUAAAAUAAAACUAAGAUAGCACUUCAGCUAAUUCUAGACAAAUCUAUUUAGAGUACAGUGUAACAACAUGUAACUAACAAACCCAGUAUUUAUCUAUUUAUUUCAGAGACAUAAUGUUCCACAAAACAUCAGCCAAGUAAAGCGCCAGCAGGUAAACACGGCAGAGUGUCUGGCUUUACGAGCUGUAACACCUCUUCCUGGUUUGACCUAAGUAAUCAUCAUCUUUCACCCAACUAUGAAACCCACACAAGCAAUUCUGGAUUCUGGCACCCAUACAUACAAAGUAUUAAGUGCAUAUCAAACUCCGAGGAUUGGCAUAUUACUGGGGUCAAAUUCCACUUGCAUCCAAAAUAAAAUCAGCAGAGUGUACAAUCUGAGUCAUGAUUUCUGAUACAUUGUGACUAACAGAUGCUGUCCUAGGGCAAAUUAAAGACAGAACACAGAGCAGACAGCCCAGUGUUCCGAAGGGUUUUGGAAGGCUAAAUACCAGCUUUAACAGUCCAUUAUUCUAAGCUGAAAAUCUGUAAGAAUUUUGGGGCUAUCAGUAUCACAGUUCAACAGGGGCUGCUACUAAACCAAAAAAGAAGAGCUGAAGCCUGAACAGCCACAACCAGCUGCCUUUCAAAGGUGCACCCAAUGAACACUGAAGCUGUUGAAGGGAUAGGAGACGUCUGCAUUCUGGAAUUCAGGAAGGGAGAAAAGGCCCCAACCAUGAAAUUCUGAGUAUAAACGGAUUCCAAAUUCAAGAUCGUCAAUGAGAAGGUUCGCUGCUAAGUACCACUCAGGAAGCAGCUGCCAAAGAAACCAGGGGUGGAGAGCCCUGGUUACUCCGGUCUGAUUAGACAAAGAGUCUCUGAAUAUGACAAGAAAGUACCGUUAUCCAAUUCAACAAAGCAUAACUGUAAACCACUCAUUUGUACUGCAUUCGGAUUUUGCUUUAGGAGGUCACUGACACCCUUAAAGCCCCUGAACGAAAAAGCUACUUAUUUCAGCCCGGCUUUUAUCUCCGCAACAACAGCACCAAAGCAAAAUCCCGAAGUCUUCAG
Long non-coding RNA from Physeter macrocephalus (sperm whale), 1159 nucleotides. RefSeq lists it as uncharacterized. The record is from RefSeq and is a predicted model, not a curated record. Lineage: Eukaryota; Metazoa; Chordata; Mammalia; Artiodactyla; Physeteridae. The transcript has 3 exons.